CUUCACUUCCUUUAUCACACUAUUGUUAGUAAAUGUUGGAGGGAGGAUGACGAAAACAAGAUACUCAUAACUACUGAUUGUAUGCUUUCGGAUAGAACCUUGUUGAUGAUGUACAGGCAUUGUUUCAAAUCCCCAAACACCGGAGAGAUAAGGAGUUAAUCCCUAGUCAACCACUUCGAGCCUAGAAGUAGGAGUUUCUUUCGGAUCUACAAACCCUUAUGCUUAACCUGGGGCAGGGUAGUGUUCAGUUGACUUGACUACACUUUCGAAUUACAAAGAUGAAAUAUCCCAUACAAGGAUCAACCACAUGACAUUCUUCGCACACAUCCUGAAGUGUCGAAGGAACCAUACAAAUCCAAAUUGUAUGUCGGUUGAUCUUCAAUGACCAAUGACUUGGCAGUCACGAUUUCAAAAACAAAAGUCAAAGAAAGAGCCCGCUAAGUCCAACACCCUGAAAAGAGACUUAGGCAAAAACAGGGGAAAUCCCGAUGGAUCAAAGCUUCAAACAAAGCGGUCCAUGCAAAAGUUAGGGAUCAAAACAAGAAUCAAAAGAGACAAUGAAAGUCUCCAAUAAAACAAAACAAGAUUCAGUGACCACCAUAACAAAAUCAAAGGGUCACUGACAUCCCAAAAAAAAAAAAACGAAAUAAGGUGGCUGCCAUUCCAAGAGACCUUGAAUCACCAUCUUUAUCCUUACACCUGCAAAAGACGAAUGUGUGUGAGUUAACUGAACGUAGGAUUGGAGAUCAUCAUGAAGAAGGGGUGGGUUAAAAUAAACUUUGAGCCUUAUAUCCUUUUGUUUCAAUAACCAUGAACCAAGCCACGUUACAACAUCCAAAAAACAAAAUAAGGUGGCUGCCAUUCCAAGAGACCUUGAAUCACCAUCUUUAUCCUUACACCUAUAUGUGUGAAUUGACUGAACGUAGGAUUGGAGAUCAUCAUGAAGAAGGGGUGGGUAAAAAUAAACUUUGAGCCUUAUAUCCUUUUAUUUCAAUAACCAUGAACCAAGCCACGUUACAACCCUCAAAAGACCUAAUUGAAGUAGGGUUUAUUCUGAAAGCAUACUACAGCAAGGUUGAGUAAACUGACUCCCAGAGAUUUGCUAAUAUUCUCUUCUCACUAUAUCACUCACACGCUAGCUAAAUCAGCACCGCGACUGGACUCAUGAUCCACUCGCCACACACUACCACAACACUCCAAAUGAAUGAUUGUUUUUCAAAACUUGCAUAACUAUUGCAUUAACAUCACCAUUUCUUGGAUAACAAUUCGUAAUUGUCAGUCAGUACUUGACAUCGAGAAAAUUCCCACAAGGGGCAAUUCAAGAGGCACUUGAUCGUUGGUGCUGACACGAACCAAGACCAUCCUAUGAAUCAGGGGCAUGUCAUCUUUUGAUCAUGUUGACCUAAGAAGUAGUCAGUAUAAGACAAAUCUCCAAGCAUCGGUCGAUCAGGGAGAAAAACACUUCAGUACUCGGCCCGUCUGGGGCAGGUCCCCCAAAGGCUAAUCAGAGGCAGACCAUAGCCAGAUUUGGACAUCAGAAAACAAACUCAGACCAUGUCAUGGGACAAUCACUCCUAAGGUUUCCUUUCAAGGAGAAUUCCUUUGAACACCCUACAAUCAGGGGCAAUACAAGUUGCAAGGGGCAAAUUCCCUUCAUAUCUUCAAGUCAGUCAAGCAGAUUGCAUCAGACAUUAGUGACUGCUUGAAUUCACCAUCAAGAUGUCAAGGGUUCAUACUAGNAACAGUUCUUAAUUGUUAGUCAGUACUUGACAUCGAGAAAAUUCCAACAAGGGGCAAUUCAAGAGGUACUUGGUCGUUGGUGCUGACACGAAUCAAGACCAUCAUGUGAAUCAGGGGCAUGGCAUCUUUUGAUCAUAUUGACCUAAGAAGUAGUCAACAUGAGACAAAUCUCCAAGCAUCAGUUGAUCAGGGAGGAAAAAUACUUUAGUACUCAGUACAGCUGGGGCAAGUCCUCAAAGGCUAAUCAGGGGCAGACCAUAGCCAGAUUUGGACAUCAGAAAACAAACUCAGACCAUGUCAUGGGAUAAUCACUCCUAAGGUUUCCUUUCAAGGAGAAUUCCUUUAAACACCCUACAAUCAGGGGCAAGACGAGUUGCAAGGGGAAAAUUCCCUUCAUAUUUUCAAGACAAUAAAGCAAAGUUCGUCAGACAUUAGUGACUGCUUGAAUUCACAACCAAAAUGUCAAAAGUUCAUACCGGUACAAUGUCACAUCUUGACAAGAACCCUUGGGACACAUCAAAAGCACAACCAACAUGCGUUGAUCACAUCGGUAUGCUCAGUUACAGGCUGGCCAUACAUCUCAGAAGAAGAAGUCGAGAUCUUCUCAAGGACAAAUACACAACAUAUCAGCAAGAGAUCAAACUUGGGGGCACCAAGAGUAUCCGCACCUAUUGCGUGUUCAUCACCUCAUCAACUACCGAGUGUCGGGAAGUCAGAUCCUUUCACCAAUCAAAAAUACAAUCCACAUUGACAAUUACCGGAAAAGUUAAAGCCCACCUUGGUGGCACCCACACAAAAACAAAUACAACCAACAUUGGUUUCCAGAAAUACAUCGCCUUUAAAAGGGGGGCCAAUCCCUAUCAAACCAAUCAUCCUUCGUAUUGAAACAUGCAUCACAUGCAUCACCUCAUUACAUAACGCAUACAUAUCAUUCAUGUACAUAACACAAAUCAAGUCCAAGGUUUAGUCGUAGGCAUCCAUGCCAAUCCUCAAUCGAGUCAUUGUCACUUUUUCUAAGAGAGUUCCUACCCUGUUAUCGGGCGUUCCCCAUUGAGUUACAUCCUUCAACAUUUUGUUGAUAAGAUGUUAUCCUCAGCUAAGUCAAACAUUGUUUCUUUAAACACCUACCUCGUUUCACGUUGAGAGUCCCUCAAUGAGUCGUUUCCUGUAACCUUUUGUUGACAGAAAUUACAUCUCUCUAGAGAAUAUUGGUUUUGCAACCUUUUGUUGUCGAUACCCUGAGCAAAUCUUAGCCAACAAUGUUCCAACACUACCCAGCAAAUCAGGUUUACUGAACUUUGAUAGUAGCCUUAUUCUUCCAAUAUUUUUCUCACUAUCAUCCUUUUGGUGAAAGUCCAUUAAGGAAUAAUAUUGAUCAUCGUCCUAUUUACGGUAACCGUUAUCCUUUUGGUAAUGGUAAAUCCUUGACAUUUGGAAAGUCCAACCCCACUGUCAUCCUUUUGGUGUCAGCAACAUUCGAAGUUAUUAUAACUUAUUAUCAUCCUUUUGGUGGUAAAAAGUUUCGAAGUUAUGAUCUCACCUUCAUCCUUUUGGUGAUGGUGAUUGUUGAUUCAUUAUCAUCCUUUUGGUGAUAACGAGUCAUGUUGUUUGUAGUACCCUCAUCCUUUUGGUGAUGGUGACUGUUGACUUAUUAUCAUCCUUUUGGUGAUAACAAGUUUUUGUCUUGAUCCUACCUUCAUCCUUUUGGUGAUGGUGAUCAAUUGCGUGUGUGCUUCUUAUCAUCCUUUUGGUGGUAACAAGUUGUGUCUUUUAACAAUACCUUCAUCCUUUUGGUGAUGGUGAUUGUAGUCUUGAUCCUACCUUCAUCCUUUUGGUGAUGGUGAUCAAUUGCGUGUGUGCUUCUUAUCAUCCUUUUGGUGGUAACAAGUUGUGUCUUUUAACAAUACCUUCAUCCUUUUGGUGAUGGUGAUUGUUGACUUCUUAUCAUCCUUUUGGUGAUAACAAGUUUGUGUCUUGAUCCUACCUUCAUCCUUUUGGUGAUGGUGAUCAAUGGCGUUGUGUGCGUAUUAUCAUCCUUUCGGUGAUAACAAGUUUUGUCGUUUGACAAAUACCUUCAUCCUUUUGGUGACGGUGACCAUUUGAGUUAUGGGCUCAUUAUCAUCCUUUUGGUGAUAACGAGCUUUGUUUUGAUCUUACCCUCAUCCUUUUGGUGAUGGCGAUCAUUGAGUCUGUUUCAACUUAUUAUCAUCCUUUUGGUGGUAACGAGUUUGUCGUUUGACAAUACCUUCAUCCUUUUGGUGAUGGUGAUUGUUGGCUUAUUAUCAUCCUUUUGGUGAUAACAAGUUUUGUCUUGAUCUUACCUUCAUCCUUUUAGUGAUGGUGAUCAAUGGCGUUGUGUGCGUAUUAUCAUCCUUUCGGUGAUAACAAGUUUUGUCUUGAUCUUACCUUCAUCCUUUUGGUGAUGGUGAUCAGUGGCGUUGUGUGCGUAUUAUCAUCCUUUUGGUGGUAACAAGUUUUGUUUCUAAUUAUACCUUCAUCCUUUUGGUGACGGUGAUUGUUGACUUAUUAUCAUCCUUUUGGUGAUAACAAGUUUUGUUGUAUUUUGUUUCUAAUUAUACCUUCAUCCUUUUGGUGACGGUGAUUGUUGACUUAUUAUCAUCCUUUUGGUGAUAACAAGUUUUGUUGUUGGAUCUUACCUUCAUCCUUUUGGUGACGGUGAUCUUUGAAGUUGAUGAGUCAAGUAUCAUCCUUUUUGGUGAUAGCCUUGAUAUUAUACUCUUGAUAAUGGGAAACUUUACCAGAAUAACCAUCAUCCUUUUGGUGACGGACACCAUCCUUUUGGUGAUGAAAAUCUUUGAAUUGUGUCUAACUUUCAUCCUUUUGGUGAUAGCGAGAUUUGCUGUUGAUCUUACCAUCAUCCUUUUGGUGAUGGCGAUCUUUGUUGUAGCCACUGUAACCAUUAUCCUUUUGGUGACGAUUACUUUUGAAGCUCGGUUUGUCCAUCAUCCUUUUGGUGAUGAUAAUCCUGACAAUCAUGGUGAAUUACUAUCAUCCUUUUGGUGAUAGCAGUUAAAUCCACUGUCAUCCUUUUGGUGUCAGAAAACCAGUCCCACAUUUGUCUUUACAACAAUAAUGACCUGGAAAAGAUUUGAAUGUUGGCUCGGGGGUUGGCACUGAUUUGGCAUUCUACCCUAUUACCUUGGUGCUGUUAGAAUCCAUUGCAUCUUCAUCUGCAUCUCUCCAUUGCAUUCCAAAGGACAAAAUUUGGAUCCUUUCGUAUUUAAUUACCUUCCACCGCGAAUGUAUGAUGACCAUUGUCAUUCUUACUUUCUAGUUCAAGAUAAUUAAAUAGGGGCAGCUGUCGUACCCCAAUUUUGUCCGGGCAUAUUUAAAUUUUCGCAGAAUCGAUUUCAUUUUUAUUUUUGCAUCAUAUACAUACCAUUACAUACAUUGCAUCAUGAGUAGCACCUAAAAUGUCAGUCGGGAUGGAUUUAUUUGAGAAUACAGAAAAAUCGGUUGAAUCGUUAAAAUUUGAGGAAAGACUGUAUUUUUAAUAAUGUGUUUUGUGCUGACAAUUUUAGUGUGACUGGUUUAAUUUUUUUCGAAUAAAAUUUAUACUCGAUUUUUAUUUUUUUUUAAUUGGUCAAAUAUUUUUUAGAAUGAUAUUAAAAAUUAGUUAGUUUUUUUAAAUAUUAGUUAGAUUUUUUAAAUAUUAGUUAGUUUAAAUAUUAAUUAGUUUUUAAAUUUUAGUUAUUUAAUUAAAUAUUAGUUGUUUUUUUAUUAGUUAGUUUAUUUAAAAUAUUAGUUAGAUUUUUUAAACAUUAUGUUAAUUAGUUCUUUAUUAAUGUUUUGUAUAUAAUUGAAUUAUUAGUGUAAUUAAAAAAAUGUGUUAGCAUUGGAUUCCAUGAUCUCUCUUCUCUCUUCCAUAAAAAACAAAAAAAUCUCUUUGUACCUCUCUCUCACGUUUUCCCUAACGUCUCCCUCAUUUCACUCUCCACUGUCUCUCCACUCACCUACCACUAUCACUCACCCACUAAAAUUUCCACUCACCUCUCCCUCCUCAGAUAAACGACAAAAAAAAGAAAAAAUAAAAUCCCUCCUAUCCUCUCUCACUGCUAUUCACUCUCUCACUCACGCUCCAUUCCCUCUCCCUCUCACUCAUAAAUAACACUUACUAUUCACUCCCUCUCUCGCCUCCACGGAAAAACCACACACAUCACCCUUUCGCUCACUCACAUCUCCUUCACCACCAUCAAAUUUCUUCACCGAAAUCACAACCCAAAAUUCCUUCCACCACCUCAAAAACAAUCGCCGAUAGUCACCGUCAACACCAUCGACCACCAAAUCUCACCGUCAAUCAUCUUCAAACCGCUUCAAACCCUCAGCUCGCCGCGAAUUCUACGGCGAAUCCACCGUCCACCGCCGAUUCCAUCUCUUCAUCUCACACAAAACCCUCCGCCUCCACUAAGUUCUUCAAUCACUACAAGAAACCCUCUAUCAUCACCGUAACCGAAGCCGCCGGUGACUCUUUGAAGCUUUAGAGCCAUAGGUAUGUCAAGCGAUGAUGUAUUUCAAGUUGUUGCUGCGGUUACAUUGUGAUUCUGCUACAACCAAUAUAGUGAUUACGACGACUUUCCGAUGCACCGGUGUUAGAGCUGACAUCA
RNAcentral lists this long non-coding RNA (6365 nucleotides) under Lathyrus oleraceus (garden pea). RNAcentral's name for it is "Pisum sativum (pea) long non-coding RNA (PSAT_LNC040478)". Lineage: Eukaryota; Viridiplantae; Streptophyta; Magnoliopsida; Fabales; Fabaceae. The record is from RNAcentral.